Long non-coding RNA from Leopardus geoffroyi (Geoffroy's cat), 895 nucleotides. RefSeq lists it as uncharacterized. The record is from RefSeq and is a predicted model, not a curated record. The transcript is spliced from 4 exons. Lineage: Eukaryota; Metazoa; Chordata; Mammalia; Carnivora; Felidae.
GCUGUCUAUGAACCAGGAAGCAGGCUCUCAGCAGACGCUGAGUCUUCCAGUGCCUUGAUUUUAGAAUUCCUUGACUCCAGAACUAAAGCAAAUGUCUGCAGAAGAGUAUUUGGGAAUCAGUAAAGCAACUAUGGUUUCCUGAGAGACAGAUCCCAGAAAGAAACAGCUCCAGGAAACCAGGAAUCCACCAUUGAGAGAGAUACAGACAGAGCAUGAGCAGGAGAGUAGCAGAGAAAGAGGGAGGCACAGAAUCUGAAGCAGGAUCCAGACUCUGAUCUGUCAGCACAGAGCUCAACGUGAGUCUCUAACUCAGGAAUCACAAGAUCAAAACCUGAGCAGAAGUUGGAUGCUUAACUGUCUGAGCCACCCAGGCGCUCCAGGAUUCUGUUAUUUUUUAAUACCUGUCCACCUUCCACUUUCUGCAUCCAUCCAUGUCCAGGAUGUGCUGAUUUAUGGAGAGCUACUGUGGACACCCUCAUCUUCUGGCUUCUUGAUGGGCUGAAAAGAAUGGGGAAUGGGGAGAGAGUGCCAUCAUGGCACUAGACUUCUCCAUACUGGGCUUCUGGGUUGGCAGUGGCUACUUCACUUUUCUGGGAGUUUAUGUGCUGUGACUUUCUCUUAGAGCUACAGUUACUUUUAUAAGAUUUAGUGGUCCCUCUCCCCAGUGGCCCCUGCAGGCCUGUGGGAAAUUUGGAGUUCUUACUGUUGCUGGACUUGAAGUGUGUCACCAUUCUUUGUCAUCUUCUAUAACUCUGUUCAUGUUGAGUGAAUAGAUGUUUCAUUAAAGUUUCCUUCACUAUGCCACUUGUUUCCUGUCAGAGACUGAUGGUAACCAUCACAAUUGCAGGAAAUACCAGGGUAUAUAAGUGAUCAAAUAAAAGUCACAUAAGAAACA